UUAAUUUAAUUGUUUCUAUUUAGCUAAUUAAAGUAUUUUUGUUUUUAGUAAAUUUAUUGAAAAAAUUACUUUUGAUAUAGUUAAUUAAGUAUCGUGAGAGAAUUUUUUUUAUAACAUGAAAGAAAAAAUUAUAUUUUGUACCUUGUGUAUCAGGGUUUAUCAAAAAAAUAUUAAAAUUUUAAUAUUCUCGAAUUUGAAAGAGCUACUUAUUUAUAGUUUUUAUUGUUUCAUAAAUAUUAUUAAUAAAUGAGUUGAAGCGAAAUACUAUUCGAUUUUGAAUAUAUCUAGUUUUUUAAGAAAAAAAUUUAAUUUUAUUAUAUCAAAAGUAAUUUUUUUCUUGUUUAGUUAAUUUUUUGUUAUGUUUUAUAAUUUGAGGGUUGAGCUUUGAAUUAAAUUUAUAUAAUGAUAAUAUAUUUUGUUUAAAAUAUGAAGGAUUUGAAGUUUCUACCUAGUGAUUUAUAUCUUAAUUUAUUUAAUAUAAGAUUUGUUAUUUGAUUUAUUUUUUUUAUUAAAAUUUAAAUUUUAAUAUUUAUUAUUUAGUAAAAAUGAUUGAAUUAGUAUAAGUUAAUAUUUAAUAUAUUUUAUUAAUUUUUAGGCUUGGUUAAGGAAUUCGGCAAAAUUAUUUCUCACCUGUUUAUUAAAAACAUGUCCUUUUGAUUAUAAUUUAAGGUCUAACCUGCCCAAUGAUUUAACAAAUUAAAUGGCCGCGGUAUAUUGACUGUGCAAAGGUAGCAUAAUCAUUAGUUUUUUAAUUGAAAGCUUGUAUGAAAGGUUGGAUGAGGAAAUUUCUGUCUCAACUAAGAUUUUUUAGAAUUUUAUUAUUUUGUAAAAAGGCAAAUAUUUCUAUAAAAGACGAGAAGACCCUAUAGAGUUUUAUAGUUUAUAUAGAAAAAAUAAUUGGAAUUCUAGUUUUUAUUUAUAUAAAUUAUUUGGUUGGGGUGAUUGAACAAUUUAAUAAACUUUUUUUAAUUGAUUACACUUAUUUGUGUAUUGUUGAUCCUUAAUAAAGAUUAAAAGAAAAAAUUACCUUAGGGAUAACAGCGUAAUUUUUCUAGAGAGUUCUAAUCGAAAGAAGAGUUUGCGACCUCGAUGUUGGAUUAAAAUUUAAAUUUGGUGUAGAAGCUGAAUUUUUAGGUCUGUUCGACCUUUAAAAUUUUACAUGAUCUGAGUUUAAACCGGCGUGAGCCAGGUUGGUUUCUAUCUUUAUAAAAGUAAUAUUUUUUAGUACGAAAGGACCAAAAAUCUAUUACAUUAAUUUUUAUAGAAUACUAUUAUU
Molecule: ribosomal RNA, 1276 nt
Filed under: Scolytinae sp. BMNH 1274713
Lineage: Eukaryota; Metazoa; Arthropoda; Insecta; Coleoptera; Curculionidae
Description: 16S ribosomal RNA
Rfam family: Archaeal large subunit ribosomal RNA (bases 1034-1192)
Source: RNAcentral